UACGUAGGGUGCGAGCGUUAAUCGGAAUUACUGGGCGUAAAGCGUGCGCAGGCGGUUUUGUAAGCCCGAUGUGAAAGCCCCGGGCUUAACCUGGGAAUGGCAUUUGGGACUGCAAGGCUUGAGUGCGGCAGAGGAGACUGGAAUUCCCGGUGUAGCAGUGAAAUGCGUAGAUAUCGGGAGGAACACCGGUGGCGAAGGCGGGUCUCUGGGCCGAUACUGACGCUGAGGAGCGAAAGCGUGGGGAGCGAACAGG
This 253-nucleotide ribosomal RNA is filed under the name uncultured bacterium. RNAcentral describes it as "partial 16S ribosomal RNA". It matches the Rfam family "Bacterial small subunit ribosomal RNA", at positions 524 to 776 of the family's 1533-position model. The record is from RNAcentral.